UUAGUACGGCGAGUGAGCGGCAAAAGCUCAAAUUUGAAAUCUGGUACCUUCGGUGCCCGAGUUGUAAUUUGGAGAGGGCAACUUUGGGGCCGUUCCUUGUCUAUGUUCCUUGGAACAGGACGUCAUAGAGGGUGAGAAUCCCGUGUGGCGAGGAGUGCGGUUCUUUGUAAAGUGCCUUCGAAGAGUCGAGUUGUUUGGGAAUGCAGCUCUAAGUGGGUGGUAAAUUCCAUCUAAAGCUAAAUAUUGGCGAGAGACCGAUAGCGAACAAGUACAGUGAUGGAAAGAUGAAAAGAACUUUGAAAAGAGAGUGAAAAAGUACGUGAAAUUGUUGAAAGGGAAGGGCAUUUGAUCAGACAUGGUGUUUUGUGCCCUCUGCUCCUUGUGGGUAGGGGAAUCUCGCAUUUCACUGGGCCAGCAUCAGUUUUGGUGGCAGGAUAAAUCCAUAGGAAUGUAGCUUGCCUCGGUAAGUAUUAUAGCCUGUGGGAAUACUGCCAGCUGGGACUGAGGACUGCGACGUAAGUCAAGGAUGCUGGCAUAAUGGUUAUAUGCCGCCCGUCUUGAAACACGGACACAA
RNAcentral lists this ribosomal RNA (574 nucleotides) under Saccharomyces cerevisiae (brewer's yeast). Its description in RNAcentral is "partial large subunit ribosomal RNA". It matches the Rfam family "Eukaryotic large subunit ribosomal RNA", at positions 80 to 664 of the family's 3401-position model. Lineage: Eukaryota; Fungi; Ascomycota; Saccharomycetes; Saccharomycetales; Saccharomycetaceae. The record is from RNAcentral.